GAGGCCUAACACAUGCAAGCCGAGCGGUAUAGUUUCUUCGGAAACUAGAGAGCGGCGUACGGGUGCGUAACACGUGUGCAACUUACCUUUAUCUGGGGAAUAGCCUUUCGAAAGGGAGAUUAAUACCCCAUAAUAUAUUAGAUGGCAUCAUUUGAUAUUGAAAACUCCGGUGGAUAGAGAUGGGCACGCGCAAGAUUAGAUAGUUGGUGAGGUAACGGCUCACCAAGUCAAUGAUCUUUAGGGGUCCUGAGAGGGAGAUCCCCCACACUGGUACUGAGACACGGACCAGACUCCUACGGGAGGCAGCAGUGAGGAAUAUUGGACAAUGGGUGAAAGCCUGAUCCAGCCAUCCCGCGUGAAGGAUGACGGUCCUAUGGAUUGUAAACUUCUUUUGUAUAGGGAUAAACCUAGAUACGUGUAUCUAGCUGAAGGUACUAUACGAAUAAGCACCGGCUAACUCCGUGCCAGCAGCCGCGGUAAUACGGAGGGUGCAAGCGUUAUCCGGAUUUAUUGGGUUUAAAGGGUCCGUAGGCGGACCGAUAAGUCAGUGGUGAAAUCUCAUAGCUUAACUAUGAAACUGCCAUUGAUACUGUCGGUCUUGAGUAAAUUAGAGGUAGCUGGAAUAAGUAGUGUAGCGGUGAAAUGCAUAGAUAUUACUUAGAACACCAAUUGCGAAGGCAGGUUACCAUGAUUUAACUGACGCUGAGGGACGAAAGCGUGGGUAGCGAACAGGAUUAGAUACCCUGGUAGUCCACGCCGUAAACGAUGCUAACUCGUUUUU
This 781-nucleotide ribosomal RNA is filed under the name Chryseobacterium sp. RNAcentral's name for it is "bacterial SSU rRNA". It matches the Rfam family "Bacterial small subunit ribosomal RNA", at positions 43 to 824 of the family's 1533-position model. The record is from RNAcentral. Lineage: Bacteria; Pseudomonadati; Bacteroidota; Flavobacteriia; Flavobacteriales; Weeksellaceae.